AUGACGACAGAUCUGAUUCAACAGCGUCUCUAUGUGUCUGUGCAGGAGAACGCUCAUUUCGUCGUGGUGGACUUGAUGCUGGAGGUGCUGGAGGGGGUCAAAUGGACCCUGAGCUGCGAUCGACGGACCUCCACGACGGACGGGCGACAACACGCGCACGGCAACACGUGCACGCACAGAGACGCGCCGCCGCGGGGCCACAGGCAGCGGUGUGAGGCAAGCAGACGCACACGGACCUGCAGGGUUGCCGAAGAGGACGCAGAGCAUCACGAGGAUGAACAUACGCCAAAGACUUUCUCCAUCCUCUCCUCGGACAGUGGAAUCGAAGUUUCAGAGUGUGGAGACGACAACACGCCGACACAGACGGAGUCUCUCAGAAAUGCGGAGUCGCUGGCCCAGAAGCUGGUGCUGGAGUUCAGGAGGAGCUGGCUUCCUUCCUGUGAGCCUCGCCGUGGACGGCAAAGCCUCCGCAGCUCGCUGCAGGAAGUAAGAAUACGUCAAAAGAUGCACUUCAGCAAGUGA
This is a long non-coding RNA of Gasterosteus aculeatus (three-spined stickleback), 522 nucleotides long. Lineage: Eukaryota; Metazoa; Chordata; Actinopteri; Perciformes; Gasterosteidae. The record is from Ensembl.